RNAcentral lists this ribosomal RNA (438 nucleotides) under Appasus japonicus. RNAcentral describes it as "partial 16S rRNA". Lineage: Eukaryota; Metazoa; Arthropoda; Insecta; Hemiptera; Belostomatidae. The record is from RNAcentral.
GUCCUUUUGAUUUUUAUAUAAGGUCUGACCUGCCCUAUGAAUAUUUAAAUGGCCGCGGUAUACUAACCGUGCAAAGGUAGCAUAGUCAUUUGUCUCUUAAUUGGAGGCUUGAAUGAAGGGUUGGACGAGAUAUAAGCUUUCUUUGUUAUAUUUUAUUGAAUUUGACUUUUGAGUUAAAAGGCUUAAAUUUUUUUAUAGGACGAGAAGACCCUAUAGAAUUUUAUAUAUUUGUAUAAUCGAUUUAUUUAUUUAUUAUUUAAUUUUUUGUUUAAAUAUAUUUUGUUGGGGCGAUGGGAAGAUUUUAAUAACUCUUUUUUUGUUCUAAUCAUUGAUUUAUGUUUUAUUCUGAUCCUUUUUUUAGAGAUUAUAAGAUUAAAUUACCUUAGGGAUAACAGCGUAAUUCUUUUGGAGAGUUCUUAUCGAUAAAAGAGUUUGCGA